Molecule: ribosomal RNA, 207 nt
Filed under: uncultured bacterium
Lineage: Bacteria
Description: partial 16S ribosomal RNA
Rfam family: Bacterial small subunit ribosomal RNA
Source: RNAcentral
CGCGUAGACGGUUUUGUAAGUCAGAUGUGAAAUCCCUGGGCUCAACCUGGGAACUGCAUUUGAAACUGCAUGGCUAGAGUAUCGAAGAGGGAAGUGGAAUUUCCGGUGUAGCGGUGAAAUGCGUAGAUAUCGGAAGGAACACCAGUGGCGAAAGCGACUUCCUGGUCGAAUACUGACGUUCAUGUGCGAAAGCGUGGGGAGCAAACA